This 874-nucleotide ribosomal RNA is filed under the name uncultured bacterium. RNAcentral's name for it is "bacterial SSU rRNA". It matches the Rfam family "Bacterial small subunit ribosomal RNA", at positions 9 to 873 of the family's 1533-position model. The record is from RNAcentral.
GAGAGUUUGAUCCUGGCUCAGGAUGAACGCUAGCGGGAGGCCUAACACAUGCAAGCCGAGCGGUAUUGUUUCUUCGGAAAUGAGAGAGCGGCGUACGGGUGCGGAACACGUGUGCAACCUGCCUUUAUCUGGGGGAUAGCCUUUCGAAAGGAAGAUUAAUACUCCAUAAUAUAUUGAACGGCAUCGUUUAAUAUUGAAAGCUCCGGCGGAUAGAGAUGGGCACGCGCAAGAUUAGCUAGUUGGUGAGGUAACGGCUCACCAAGGCGAUGAUCUUUAGGGGGCCUGAGAGGGUGAUCCCCCACACUGGUACUGAGACACGGACCAGACUCCUACGGGAGGCAGCAGUGAGGAAUAUUGGUCAAUGGGUGCAAGCCUGAACCAGCCAUCCCGCGUGAAGGACGACUGCCCUAUGGGUUGUAAACUUCUUUUGUAUAGGGAUAAACCUACCCUCGUGAGGGUAGCUGAAGGUACUAUACGAAUAAGCACCGGCUAACUCCGUGCCAGCAGCCGCGGUAAUACGGAGGGUGCAAGCGUUAUCCGGAUUUAUUGGGUUUAAAGGGUCCGUAGGCGGACUUAUAAGUCAGUGGUGAAAGCCUGUCGCUUAACGAUAGAACUGCCAUUGAUACUGUAAGUCUUGAGUAUAUUUGAGGUAGCUGGAAUAAGUAGUGUAGCGGUGAAAUGCAUAGAUAUUACUUAGAACACCNAUUGCGAAGGCAGGUUUACCAAGAUAUAACUGACGCUGAGGGACNAAAGCGUGGGGAGCGAACAGGAUUAGAUACCCUGGGUAGUCCACGCCGUAAACGAUGCUAACUCGUUUUUGGGCUUUAGGGNUUCAGAAGACCCAAGCGAAAGUGAUAAGUUANCCCANCUUGGG